GGAGGCACACCAACCAUUGUUUCCUCAUCAGCUUGAGCUCUGAUCUAAUUAGCAUUCAGCAAGCAUCUCGAAAUCUCUUUAGCUCGACUGGUGGAGCAAUCUUUGCUGCAGUGUGCACACAAGCGUCCUGAUCAAGAUGCAGGGAGGAGGGAGAGCAAGAGGUCCGGCUGGAGCGGCGGUGCUGGUGCUUGCGCUGCUGCUCGUGGCAGCACCGGCAUCGGUGUAUGCCGACGCCACGGCAGCACCGGCGCGGCGCCUCCUAGGAGCUGAUGGUGGCGCUGCCGCUGCGCCGCCGCCACCACCACUGCCGGUGUCCGUCAGGAAGGCAUUGUCAGUGCCUCAUUGCGGCCAAACGAACAGCAAAAACAUUUCUUGCCCUCCCGCGCGCGCGCCAUAGCAAGCUUGCAUUGCCAGCGAUAUAUAUACGUGCACAGUGCACAUACUCUUCCUAUAAUAAUAUAAGGGUGAUUUUUUUUCUUCGGACUAAUGGGUUUAGCUUGAAUAAGUUUGUUGUUCGUAGGCUGGCAGCAUUGAUCACGAUCAUUAUCAGUGGAGAAUAAUUUAUUCGUUUCAAUUAUUACCAGUUAUUUUGUACUGUGUAAGAAGUAAAUUAAAGAGCAAUCAGCUAUAUAUAUCAUGCGUUAUGGCUAUUUAUCAUGCGUACAUGUGACAAAAUAAUUUAUGUUUUAUUAUUUUAGCUAGCAGUUCAAUGCUGAAAAACGACUCCAAAAUGGUGUAGUAUACUUUGUAACUUAGGC
This 758-nucleotide long non-coding RNA is filed under the name Sorghum bicolor (sorghum). RNAcentral's name for it is "long non-coding RNA (SBIC_LNC003553)". The record is from RNAcentral. Lineage: Eukaryota; Viridiplantae; Streptophyta; Magnoliopsida; Poales; Poaceae.